RNAcentral lists this microRNA precursor (92 nucleotides) under Canis lupus familiaris (dog). RNAcentral describes it as "mir-8799 microRNA precursor family". It matches the Rfam family "mir-8799 microRNA precursor family". The record is from Rfam by way of RNAcentral. Lineage: Eukaryota; Metazoa; Chordata; Mammalia; Carnivora; Canidae. RNAcentral also lists the same sequence under 1 other name.
GGGGGGAGUGCCGGAUCUUGGGCUGUGUCCCCGGCACCCUGUGCUCCCAGGCCUGCACUGUUGGAAUCACGCUCCUGGCCGCGCAGCUCCCU